CUAAUUCUUUAAACUUGAUUUUUUUUCAAAAUAAAUAUUUAAAAAAUAUGAAAUUACCUCCAAUAGAUCAUAAAUCUUCUGUUCUUGCUCUUGAGACAUUCGAAUCAGAACUUGAUAAAAUUAUGAUUUUAUCCCUGAAAUACAAUGUCUUUUUUAAGCCAAAAUCAUUAGUAACCCCCUCAAAUAUUUUGUAAUCAUCAAAAUCAAUUCAUGGAGCAAUAGAUAUUUUGAGAAAAUUUUUCAUGGG
RNAcentral lists this long non-coding RNA (247 nucleotides) under Elaeis guineensis (African oil palm). RNAcentral describes it as "long non-coding RNA (EGUI_LNC048579)". Lineage: Eukaryota; Viridiplantae; Streptophyta; Magnoliopsida; Arecales; Arecaceae. The record is from RNAcentral.